CGUACACGGUGGAUGCCCUGGCAGUCAGAGGCGAUGAAGGACGUGCUAAUCUGCGAUAAGCGCCGGUAAGGUGAUAUGAACCGUUAUAACCGGCGAUUUCCGAAUGGGGAAACCCAGUGUGACUCGUCACACUAUCAUUAACUGAAUCCAUAGGUUAAUGAGGCGAACCGGGGGAACUGAAACAUCUAAGUACCCCGAGGAAAAGAAAUCAACCGAGAUUCCCCCAGUAGCGGCGAGCGAACGGGGAGGAGCCCAGAGCCUGAAUCAGCAUGUGUGUUAGUGGAAGCGUCUGGAAAGGCGCGCGAUACAGGGUGACAGCCCCGUACACAAAAGCGCAUGUGCUGUGAGCUCGAUGAGUAGGGCGGGACACGUGGUAUCCUGUCUGAAUAUGGGGGGACCAUCCUCCAAGGCUAAAUACUCCUGACUGACCGAUAGUGAACCAGUACCGUGAGGGAAAGGCGAAAAGAACCCCGGCGAGGGGAGUGAAAAAGAACCUGAAACCGUGUACGUACAAGCAGUGGGAGCACCCUUCGGGGUGUGACUGCGUACCUUUUGUAUAAUGGGUCAGCGACUUAUAUUCUGUAGCAAGGUUAACCGUAUAGGGGAGCCGUAGGGAAACCGAGUCUUAACCGGGCGUUAAGUUGCAGGGUAUAGACCCGAAACCCGGUGAUCUAGCCAUGGGCAGGUUGAAGGUUGGGUAACACUAACUGGAGGACCGAACCGACUAAUGUUGAAAAAUUAGCGGAUGACCUGUGGCUGGGGGUGAAAGGCCAAUCAAACCGGGAGAUAGCUGGUUCUCCCCGAAAGCUAUUUAGGUAGCGCCUCGUGAAUUCAUCUCCGGGGGUAGAGCACUGUUUCGGCUAGGGGGCCAUCCCGGCUUACCAACCCGAUGCAAACUGCGAAUACCGGAGAAUGUUAUCACGGGAGACACACGGCGGGUGCUAACGUCCGUCGUGAAGAGGGAAACAACCCAGACCGCCAGCUAAGGUCCCAAAGUCAUAGUUAAGUGGGAAACGAUGUGGGAAGGCCCAGACAGCCAGGAUGUUGGCUUAGAAGCAGCCAUCAUUUAAAGAAAGCGUAAUAGCUCACUGGUCGAGUCGGCCUGCGCGGAAGAUGUAACGGGGCUAAACUAUGCACCGAAGCUGCGGCAGCGACACUAUGUGUUGUUGGGUAGGGGAGCGUUCUGUAAGCCUGUGAAGGUGUGUCGUGAGGCAUGCUGGAGGUAUCAGAAGUGCGAAUGCUGACAUAAGUAACGAUAAAGCGGGUGAAAAGCCCGCUCGCCGGAAGACCAAGGGUUCCUGUCCAACGUUAAUCGGGGCAGGGUGAGUCGACCCCUAAGGCGAGGCCGAAAGGCGUAGUCGAUGGGAAACGGGUUAAUAUUCCCGUACUUGGUGUUACUGCGAAGGGGGGACGGAGAAGGCUAUGUUGGCCGGGCGACGGUUGUCCCGGUUUAAGCGUGUAGGUGUGUGUUCCAGGUAAAUCCGGUUCACUUUAACACUGAGGCGUGAUGACGAGGCACUACGGUGCUGAAGCAACAAAUGCCCUGCUUCCAGGAAAAGCCUCUAAGCAUCAGGUAACAUCAAAUCGUACCCCAAACCGACACAGGUGGUCAGGUAGAGAAUACCAAGGCGCUUGAGAGAACUCGGGUGAAGGAACUAGGCAAAAUGGUGCCGUAACUUCGGGAGAAGGCACGCUGACACGUAGGUGAAGUGAUUUACUCAUGGAGCUGAAGUCAGUCGAAGAUACCAGCUGGCUGCAACUGUUUAUUAAAAACACAGCACUGUGCAAACACGAAAGUGGACGUAUACGGUGUGACGCCUGCCCGGUGCCGGAAGGUUAAUUGAUGGGGUCAGCGCAAGCGAAGCUCCUGAUCGAAGCCCCGGUAAACGGCGGCCGUAACUAUAACGGUCCUAAGGUAGCGAAAUUCCUUGUCGGGUAAGUUCCGACCUGCACGAAUGGCGUAAUGAUGGCCAGGCUGUCUCCACCCGAGACUCAGUGAAAUUGAACUCGCUGUGAAGAUGCAGUGUACCCGCGGCAAGACGGAAAGACCCCGUGAACCUUUACUAUAGCUUGACACUGAACAUUGAGCCUUGAUGUGUAGGAUAGGUGGGAGGCUUUGAAGUGUGGACGCCAGUCUGCAUGGAGCCGACCUUGAAAUACCACCCUUUAAUGUUUGAUGUUCUAACGUGGACCCGUGAUCCGGGUUGCGGACAGUGUCUGGUGGGUAGUUUGACUGGGGCGGUCUCCUCCUAAAGAGUAACGGAGGAGCACGAAGGUUGGCUAAUCCUGGUCGGACAUCAGGAGGUUAGUGCAAUGGCAUAAGCCAGCUUGACUGCGAGCGUGACGGCGCGAGCAGGUGCGAAAGCAGGUCAUAGUGAUCCGGUGGUUCUGAAUGGAAGGGCCAUCGCUCAACGGAUAAAAGGUACUCCGGGGAUAACAGGCUGAUACCGCCCAAGAGUUCAUAUCGACGGCGGUGUUUGGCACCUCGAUGUCGGCUCAUCACAUCCUGGGGCUGAAGUAGGUCCCAAGGGUAUGGCUGUUCGCCAUUUAAAGUGGUACGCGAGCUGGGUUUAGAACGUCGUGAGACAGUUCGGUCCCUAUCUGCCGUGGGCGCUGGAGAACUGAGGGGGGCUGCUCCUAGUACGAGAGGACCGGAGUGGACGCAUCACUGGUGUUCGGGUUGUCAUGCCAAUGGCACUGCCCGGUAGCUAAAUGCGGAAGAGAUAAGUGCUGAAAGCAUCUAAGCACGAAACUUGCCCCGAG
RNAcentral lists this ribosomal RNA (2763 nucleotides) under Salmonella enterica. Its description in RNAcentral is "partial 23S ribosomal RNA". It matches the Rfam family "Bacterial large subunit ribosomal RNA". Lineage: Bacteria; Pseudomonadati; Pseudomonadota; Gammaproteobacteria; Enterobacterales; Enterobacteriaceae. The record is from RNAcentral.